UCGCCUAUAUCAGAAUGGACAUCAUUUUUGCCUCUCUGAUUCGGAUGCUGACCAGCAGAUCUGUGGUUGAAAUGGUGGUUGUGCCCUGGAGAUGGUUCUAGAACUAGGGUUUUUGUGCCCUAGAGAUCUAGGCUUUUGGCUUAAGGUUAGGGUUUCAGGAGGCUAGGGUUUCUGAAUCAAGUCUAUCCUCUAGGGUUUCAAUCUUCUAAAGCUGUCUAGAGAUGCCUUUGAAUGGCCACG
This 240-nucleotide long non-coding RNA is filed under the name Amborella trichopoda. RNAcentral's name for it is "long non-coding RNA (ATRI_LNC003769)". The record is from RNAcentral. Lineage: Eukaryota; Viridiplantae; Streptophyta; Magnoliopsida; Amborellales; Amborellaceae.